ACGGGUAAUCUACAACAGCGAACCCCCUCCAUACUGACGGGAUGUUAAGAGACUACGUUGAGCUUAAGUUGAUCCCCGCCCUGCCUUGAAACGAGCAUCGUGGAGACAUCGAUACCUCUCGCUUGUACCACAUCGAUACCGCUCGCUUGUACCACAUCGAUACCACUCGCUAGUACCACAUCGAUACCACUCGCUAGUACCACAUCGAUACCACUCGUUUGUACCAUAUCGAUACCACUCGUUUGUACUACAUCGAUACCACUCGAUUGUUCCAUAUCGAUACCAAUCAGUCUUACCAGAUCGAUACCACACGCUUGUACCACAUCGAUACCACUCGGUCCUACCACAUCGAUACCACUCGCUUGUACCACAUCGAUACCACGCAGUUGUACCAUAUCGAUACCACUCGGCCUUACCACAUCGAUACCAGUCAACAGCGCCACCCCUGGUCAUCAAACCACGCACCACUCCUCCGCCGUCACGUGAACCGGAAAUGCCCCCAAAACGAGACAACAAGCCCAGAAACUCAUUCCUGAACUUCGACGCCCUCAUCCUCUUUUGUACAUUCAUCUGCGCCAACGGAGUGGCGUUCGCCAUACGCCAGGACAUGGCCGUCCUGAUGGCGACGCCGACGAUAUUCGUCAUGCACCAGGUGGGGCUGAUCGGAAAGAAAACCGUGGUCUUGGUGUUCGCUAUUGGACUGGCGUGGUUGGCCUACUUGCAGACUGAGUCCUUCUACAUUCUCGCAGUGCACAGCAUUUUCUACCUGGGGAUACUUUUGAAAAACAUGGCGGACAGCAACGUAGCGGGGGUCUACUGAGAACUCUAGCGUGGUAUUCACCUUUAGCUAGCACGAGAAACGUCCUUGACCCGUUAGAUAACUCGAGAAACACUUUUCAACUUUAGAUAACUCGAGAAAACGUCUUUCAGCCUAAGAUGUCUCGAGAAAUGUGCUUCCCUUUAAGAUCACCUUUGGAUAACUCAAGAAAUUUGCUUUAUUUCUAGAUAACUCAAGAAAUCAGCAUCACCUUUAUAUAACGAGCAAUGUCCAUCCCCACUGAAAACCAACAGAAUGUUCAUCUGCAAUGAAAGCCAUGUUUUGUUUCGUUUACAAUUCAGUUUGACAUCAUAUUUGUAACUUUUUACCCAUCCCCCAUCAAAAAUAAUAUCAAAUCUAGCUAUUGAAAUAAAUACAACGAAAACACUUUCUAUUUUUUCCAUUUUUCUAGUGAUAUAAAUAAACAAAUGUAGCUUUAGAAGGGAAGGAAUUAAAUGUUUUUUAAUUAUUGUCUAUGUGUUUUGUG
Molecule: RNA transcript, 1304 nt
Organism: Physella acuta
Lineage: Eukaryota; Metazoa; Mollusca; Gastropoda; Physidae
Source: RefSeq, a predicted model, not a curated record